GACGAACGCUGGCGGCGUGCUUAACACAUGCAAGUCGAACGGAAAGGCCCUGCUUUUGUGGGGUGCUCGAGUGGCGAACGGGUGAGUAACACGUGCGUAACCUGCCCUUGACUUUGGGAUAACUUCAGGAAACUGGGGCUAAUACCGGAUAGGAGCUCCUGCUGCAUGGUGGGGGUUGGAAAGUUUCGGCGGUUGGGGAUGGACUCGCGGCUUAUCAGCUUGUUGGUGGGGUAGUGGCUUACCAAGGCUUUGACGGGUAGCCGGCCUGAGAGGGUGACCGGCGACAAUGGGACUGAGAGACGGCCCAGACUCCUACGGGAGGCAGUAGGGGGGAAUAUGGCACAAUGGGCCGAAGCCUGAUGCAGCAACGCCGGGGUCGUGAUGACGGCCUUCGGGUUGUAAACCGCUUUCGCCUGUGACGAAGCGUGAGUGACGGUAAUGGGUAAAGAAGCACCGGCUAACUACGUG
This 468-nucleotide ribosomal RNA is filed under the name uncultured bacterium. RNAcentral's name for it is "partial 16S ribosomal RNA". It matches the Rfam family "Bacterial small subunit ribosomal RNA", at positions 28 to 507 of the family's 1533-position model. The record is from RNAcentral.